RNAcentral lists this ribosomal RNA (329 nucleotides) under uncultured bacterium. RNAcentral describes it as "bacterial SSU rRNA". It matches the Rfam family "Bacterial small subunit ribosomal RNA", at positions 158 to 507 of the family's 1533-position model. The record is from RNAcentral.
CAGGUCUAAUACCAAAUACCUUCUUUUUAACACAUGUUAAAAGAGAAAUGCUCCGGCGCUUUGGGAUGGUCUCGCGAUCUAUCAGCUUGUUGGUGAGGUAACGGCUCACCAAGGCAUCGACGGAUAGCUGGUCUGAGAGGAUGUCCAGCCACAUUGGAACUGAGACACGGUCCAAACUCCUACGGGAGGCAGCAGUAGGGAAUCUUGCACAAUGAGGAAACCUUGAUGCAGCGACGCCGCGUGCGGGACGAAGGCCCUAGGGUUGUAAACCGCUUUCAGUAGGGACGAAAGUGACGGUACCUACAGAAGAAGCCCCGGCCAACUAUGUG